GGGGCUGAUUCUGGAUUCGACGGGAUUUGCGAAACCCAAGGUGCAUGCCGAGGGGCGGUUGGCCUCGUAAAAAGCCGCAAAAAAAUAGUCGCAAACGACGAAAACUACGCUUUAGCAGCUUAAUAACCUGCUUAGAGCCCUCUCUCCCUAGCCUCCGCUCUUAGGACGGGGAUCAAGAGAGGUCAAACCCAAAAGAGAUCGCGUGGAAGCCCUGCCUGGGGUUGAAGCGUUAAAACUUAAUCAGGCUAGUUUGUUAGUGGCGUGUCCGUCCGCAGCUGGCAAGCGAAUGUAAAGACUGACUAAGCAUGUAGUACCGAGGACGUAGGAAUUUCGGACGCGGGUUCAACUCCCGCCAGCUCCACCA
Molecule: transfer-messenger RNA, 364 nt
Filed under: Escherichia coli
Lineage: Bacteria; Pseudomonadati; Pseudomonadota; Gammaproteobacteria; Enterobacterales; Enterobacteriaceae
Rfam family: transfer-messenger RNA
About the family: Bacterial tmRNA, also known as 10Sa RNA or SsrA, is named for its dual tRNA and mRNA-like properties. Its role is to liberate the mRNA from a stalled ribosome.
Source: RNAcentral